GCCAAUGGGGGAAGGCAGGAUUCCAAGUCGCGUUGUCCCUCAGCAGCUCUCGCGAGAUCGCCGCCUUGCCCAGCCGGCUCGGGUGGGUGCUGCUGGGGCGGGGUGAGAGGGUCCCGGAGGGAGUCGCCAUGUUCCUGGCGGUCGGAGCUCGGCGCCUGAGGCGGGCGCCCUCAUUGCUCCAGCGAUUUCAGAGUACAUUGGUAAUCACUGAACACACAAAUGAGUCUCUUACACCCAUUACGCUAAAUGCUAUCACUGCAGCAAAGCGGCUGGGAGGUGAAGUAUCUUGUUUAGUAGCUGGUACCAACUGUGACAAGGUAGCAGAAGAGCUCAGCAAAGUACAGGGCAUUGCAAGAGUUCUAGUGGCUCAGCAUGAUGUAUACAAAGGAUUUCUACCAGAGGAGCUGACUCCAUUGAUUUUGGCAACUCAAAAACAGUUUAAUUACACACACAUCUGUGCUGGAGCAUCUGCCUUUGGGAAGAAUCUUCUUCCCAGAGUGGCAGCUAAACUUGAUGUUGCCCCUGUUUCUGACAUCAUUGAAAUUAAAUCACCUGACACUUUUGUGAGAACUAUUUAUGCAGGAAAUGCUCUGUGUACUGUGAAGUGUGAUGAAAAAGUAAAAGUGUUUUCUGUACGGGGAACCUCUUUUGAAGCUGCACCAGUGAGUGGUGGUAGUGCUAGUGUAGAAAAAGUAACGGCUCCAUCACCAGUUGGUCAGUCUGAAUGGAUUGAGCAGAAGCUAACAAAAAGUGAUCGGCCAGAGCUCACGAGUGCAAAGGUGGUCGUAUCAGGUGGGCGAGGUUUGAAGAGUGGUGACAACUUCAAACUGUUAUAUGACCUUGCAGAUCAGUUGCAUGCUGCAGUUGGUGCUUCCCGUGCAGCAGUUGAUGCUGGCUUUGUUCCCAACGACAUGCAGGUUGGACAGACAGGCAAAAUAGUAGCACCAGAACUUUAUAUUGCUGUUGGAAUAUCUGGAGCAAUCCAGCAUUUAGCAGGGAUGAAAGACAGCAAGACCAUAGUUGCUAUUAAUAAGGAUCCAGAAGCGCCGAUUUUCCAGGUUGCGGACUACGGAUUGGUAGCAGAUUUAUUUAAGGGAUUGGCCCGAGGACCUCUGAAGCUAGAAAUGUCAUGGAUUCAUGUUGGCUCUCAGAACUCAUGCAUUUUAUGAAUAUUCAAUUCAUUCAAACCACGCAAGGAGCAAGAUAUCCAGCCAGUGAUUGUUCUGAGGGCGCCAUUAAAGCUCUAGAAUGUCUCGUCCUUUUCUACCACUGUGGAGAACUAUGAAUCUGGGACCCUAUUCAUCUUUUGCUCUUUGGAUUCCAAAGAUUUGUACUUUUCAUUGAUCACCGAGGCAGUUUGCUGAAGGUGAAUAACUGGCUUAAUCUGGAGCACAUCAAAGCUCUCUUGGUUCUUCUUGUUGUAAAUGUUCACUCUAUGUUCCAGCUCAGGACUGGCUUUGGUGGACCCUGCUGGACUAGGCAAUUUAAGGUUGACUGGAUCUAAGCCUUUUUGUGUCAAGCAAGAAUCCUCUGACAAUGAUGAUAACAGUUCCUGAACUACUGCAUUGCUGACCCUAUGCCUUGCAGAAUCCAUUUGAUCAUGUUUUGCAUUCCCAGCCCUGUCUAAGGGGCAGUAUUCAGAGGGUUCCUCCCGGGUGGUACUGCAGUCUGUGGAAGAGCCAAAGGUUUGGCUGCUGUCACUCUGGGCUCUGGUUACAGAGCUGUCUGUAGAUCUGGAGGCACUGCCUGAUGUGACGCUAACAGAAGUUCCAUUACUUCCUAUCUUUAUGGGCACUUCCACUGUGAACAGGUCAGAAGAUAUGUUGGGGUGGUGCACAUCAAUGGCUGUUGUGGUAAUGACACAAAUACCAGCUUCAGGAACUCCGCUGUCUCAGGACCUUCAGGAGAAGAGGAAAUGGAAGGAAGGAGUAAAGAAGGUCCUUGUCCUAUGGGAGGAGGAGGGCAUCACCCAGAGAGUGCUGACUGACCCCUGCCCUGGAAUAGUAUCGUGGACACUUCUUGUUCUGGCAUUGUACUGGUGUGAGCGUCAACCUCUGGGAAUUGAUCUGUAGGCCUAUGAACAAGCGUAUUGUGUCCUUGGUGGCUCAAAGAGCUCCCUGAAGCGACCAGUCUCUGAGAAGACAAUCGUCCAGAUUCCCAGUGACCUAAGAGCGGCCCUGGAAUCCUUUGAGUGGAGAGAGGCGUUGGUCUUCUCGGCAAAGAGCUUCACACCCUCAAAGGGGAAGUCCCCCACCAUAGGCUGCACCUCCUUCAGGAAUCUCGAGAGGUGGAGCUACAACACCCAUCUCAUUAUAACAGCUGUGAAAUGGUUCUGGCAGCUGUGUCGGCAGCGUCAAGGGCUGACUGCAAAGAUGUUUUUGCUACCGGUUGCCCGUGCUGGAUGAUGGCCUAGAAGGAAUCCUGGGAACUCUCCAGCAGCUUAUCAGUAAAGUCGUAUAAUUUAUUGUAA
RNA transcript from Chelonia mydas (Green sea turtle), 2470 nucleotides. It is a transcript of the gene named electron transfer flavoprotein subunit alpha, with no coding region annotated. NCBI's taxonomy places the organism in Eukaryota, Metazoa, Chordata, Testudines, Cheloniidae. The transcript is spliced from 15 exons. The record is from RefSeq and is a predicted model, not a curated record.